This 74-nucleotide transfer RNA is filed under the name Candidatus Zixiibacteriota bacterium. Its description in RNAcentral is "tRNA-Thr". It matches the Rfam family "tRNA". From Rfam's summary of the family: Transfer RNA (tRNA) molecules are approximately 80 nucleotides in length. Their secondary structure includes four short double-helical elements and three loops (D, anti-codon, and T loops). The record is from RNAcentral. Lineage: Bacteria; Pseudomonadati; Candidatus Zixiibacteriota.
GCCACCUUAGCUCUAAUGGUUAGAGCGGCUGACUUGUAAUCAGCAGGUUCUCGGUUCGAAUCCGAGAGGUGGCU